Molecule: ribosomal RNA, 381 nt
Filed under: uncultured bacterium
Lineage: Bacteria
Description: bacterial SSU rRNA
Rfam family: Bacterial small subunit ribosomal RNA
Source: RNAcentral
GACGAACGCUGGCGGCGUGCUUAACACAUGCAAGUCGAGCGGUAAGGCCCUUUCGGGGUACGACGAGCGGCGAACGGGUAGGAGUAACACGUGGGUGACCUGCCUUUAGUCUCUGGGAGUAAGCCUGGGAAACGUGGGUCGUAAUACCGGAUAUGACUCCGCGGUGCAUGCUGUGGGGUGGAAAGCCUUGUGCGGCUGGAGAUGGGCCCGCGGCCUAUCAGCUUGUUGGUGGGGNGANGGCCUACCAAGGCGACGACGGGUAGCCGGCCUGAGAGGGCGACCGGCCACACUGGGACUGAGACACGGCCCAGACUCCUACGGGAGGCAGCAGUGGGGAAUCUUGCGCAAUGGGCGAAAGCCUGACGCAGCGACGCCGCGUGA